Molecule: ribosomal RNA, 687 nt
Filed under: Triticum aestivum (bread wheat)
Lineage: Eukaryota; Viridiplantae; Streptophyta; Magnoliopsida; Poales; Poaceae
Description: partial small subunit ribosomal RNA
Rfam family: mir-395 microRNA precursor family (bases 8-92)
Source: RNAcentral
AUGUUUGGUCUUACUGUGGGUUCCUUUCAAGCACUUCACGAGCAUUCUUUCAAAUCUCAUUGUGAAGUGUUUGGGGGAACUCUUGGUGAUGCCAAGCUUUAUUCAAUGCCAGUCAAGAACCAGAGGAGACGAUCAUCACAAACCAUGUUUGGUCUUACCGUGGGUUCCUUGCAAACACUUCAUGAGCAUUCUUUCAAAUGCCAUUGUGAAGUGUUUGGGGGAACGACUCUUGGUGAUGCCAAGAUUUACUCAAUGCAGUCAAGAACCAAAGGAGACGAUCAUCACAAAGCAAGUUUGGUCUUACCGUGGGUUCCUCGCAAGCACUUCACGAGGCAGUAUUACAAAUGCCACUGUGAGUGUUUGGGGGAACUCUUGGUGAUGCCAAGCUUUACUCAUUGUCGAUCACGAACCAGGAGAUAUGAUCAAUAUAAAGAAAGUUUUGUCUUAUCAUGGGAUCCUUGUAAGCACUUGACAAGGCAUUAUUCGAAAGACCACCGUGAAGUGUUUCGGGGAACUCUUGGUAUCACGAAGCAAUUGAUGGAUGUUGUUUCAACUGAACCAACACGAUUUUGCUUUGAAACCAUGUUUAGGGAAGGGGUGGGAGAAUAUCAUUUUGUAGCAUCCGUGCACACCUCCUUGAUGAAAUGCACCGGUUCGGGUUUGCAAGAGGGGACGGAAGUGUUCUAA